CCUCCUUUGCAUCUUCAUCUGCACUAUCAAUGCAUACUCUUACAUGUCUCUCUUCCAUGGUCCAGAUUGAUUUCCAUCUGGUACAACUCUUCUUUGCCUGCAUGCCUUCCUUGGCCGUAUAUUUGGUGGCUCAAUAUGCUCGCUAUGAUAUGAGAAAAAUGGAAGCAGUACAUACAUAAAAUUUGGAAAUAUGGGUACAAGUACUUGAACAUAGACCAAAGUACUUUUAUAUCUAAAAUUGUAGCCCCUGGACAGCUCUACUGCAAGAUAUACGCUGCUCUCAAGCUCUCACUCUGUGGAGCUGUAUCCAAGGCCAUAUCUGUCCAACUUGAAUGAAGGUGGGGUUUAAGAUUAGGUCUUUGGUAUUACACCAAAAGACUUAACCAGUUGAACUAGCCAGCCCCUUCUACAUUAAGAUUCAGUUUACAGGAUUGGAAUUGACACUGGUUCUAUUGCAAACUAAAUUACACAGCUAGUAUUUGCUUAAACAUUUGGAAGCAUUUUAAAACCAUUUCAUUUUACAUAUGAAGUUUUUUGAACACGGUGAACAUAGGCUAGAACUUCAGAUAAUAUCAGCAUUAGCAUCAUAAACUGCUAAUGUGGCUGAUCCAGAUGCUUCUUUUAUCACAGACCUUACGCUGUAAUAGAAAAAUCAUAAGUAUUUUUAUAAAUG
This is a long non-coding RNA of Quercus lobata, 673 nucleotides long. RefSeq lists it as uncharacterized. The transcript is spliced from 3 exons. The record is from RefSeq and is a predicted model, not a curated record. Lineage: Eukaryota; Viridiplantae; Streptophyta; Magnoliopsida; Fagales; Fagaceae.